Molecule: long non-coding RNA, 561 nt
Filed under: Homo sapiens (human)
Lineage: Eukaryota; Metazoa; Chordata; Mammalia; Primates; Hominidae
Description: HSALNT0363188
Source: RNAcentral
CACACCCCCUUAAAGGGCCAGCCCCUCUACAGGCCCCUCUCCCCUACUCCGCCCCCGGGCAGGGGUAGGGGAGGGUCUAUUCGGCAGGGGGUGGCCUAGCUGUCCGUACUCCCCAAACGCAACCUUCCAGUCCCAAACCCAGGCGUUCUAAGCGCUCAGGACGACGAUUUGCGCUCACGCCAGGACCCUAGUCUUCAUUGGACCCUUCCUCAUUCUGUCCUCAUUGAGGCCAUCUGAGAAUAGGGGCUAUCUGAGAAUGCAGGGGAGUGGACAUCGUGUGCAGACAGGGAGUCUGAUUGUGAGUGCCACGGGGCUGAGGCCUGCGCCGACCUGGUCUGCUGGUGCUACCAGGCUUGAACAGUCUUCAAAUCCACUGCUAUUAGGCAAAUUACCUGGCUCCCGCUGAACUCCAGCACCUAGAACUAUGUCACACUCGUAGUAGGCCGCUGCAUUGGUUGAACAAAUGAUUUUGAAAGAAUGAAUGUCUUCCUCUGUGCCUGCAUUUCCUCAGAAGGCUGUAACAAAGAUUAAAUAGGAAAAUUCGUGGAAAGUUCAAUUACU